ACUCAAAUGAAUUGACGGGGGCCCGCACAAGCAGUGGAUUAUGUGGUUUAAUUCGACGCAACGCGAAGAACCUUACCAGGGUUUGACAUGGAGUCAAAAGUUAUAGAGAUAUGAUGUCCCGCAAGGGGGACUCACACAGGUGGUGCAUGGUUGUCGUCAGCUCGUGUCGUGAGAUGUUGGGUUAAGUCCCGCAACGAGCGCAACCCCUAUUGUUAGUUGCUACGCAAGAGCACUUUAGCGAGACUGCCGUUGACAAAACGGAGGAAGGCGGGGACGACGUCAAAUCAUCAUGCCCCUUAUGCCCUGGGCUACACACGUAAUACAAUGGCGCAAAAACAGAGGGAAGCUAAGCCGCGAGGUGGCGCAAAUCCCGAAAAGGCGUCUCAGUUCGGAUCGCAGGCUGCAACUCGCCUGCGUGAAGUCGGAAUUGCUAGUAAUCGCGGAUCAUCAAGCCGCGGUGAAUACGUUCCCGGGCCUUGUACACACCGCCCGU
RNAcentral lists this ribosomal RNA (493 nucleotides) under uncultured bacterium. RNAcentral's name for it is "bacterial SSU rRNA". It matches the Rfam family "Bacterial small subunit ribosomal RNA", at positions 899 to 1397 of the family's 1533-position model. The record is from RNAcentral.